Long non-coding RNA from Chenopodium quinoa (quinoa), 883 nucleotides. RefSeq lists it as uncharacterized. The record is from RefSeq and is a predicted model, not a curated record. The transcript has 3 exons. Lineage: Eukaryota; Viridiplantae; Streptophyta; Magnoliopsida; Caryophyllales; Amaranthaceae.
CCGCAACCCGUCUGCACCGAACCAUUUACUACCCGGACCGUUUAUAACUUGAACCGAAUUUAAACCGUUCAAAAAUAAACCAAAAUCGAAUCGAAUCGAUAAUUAUUUAAACCAAACUGAAACCGACCCAUAAGACACUUGAACCGAUUUCUAACCGACCCGAUUUCAAACCGAACCGAAACCAAACUAUGAAACCGUUUUGACAGUCUGUAUUACUAUGUAAAUCUUGGUAUUAUUACAUGUUCACAGUAAGAAUGUUGUCGGCAUUGACAUCUUGACGACAUCAUCUUUGCGGUCACUGUUGUAAUGUUGUGACAUGUCAUAUUGUGUAGUUUUAAUGACCAGGGAAAGUUGCUAUUGCCACAUGCAUCGUAUCCUCUCCUCUGUUUGAUAUGUGUCCUUGUACAAUCUCUAUAUACGAUUCGUUCUUAGCCUGAACCCUUAUAUCCUCCUGCUCUGUUUGCUCUUGGAUAACAAUAGUGAAGAGAAAGGGAGGGGAAAGAAAAAGAGGUAAUGGAAAGGGAGGAGAGUGGAGGGAGAAGGUGACCUUUCAUUUUCUUUCCAAAUUUCUCCGAAAAAACUAAAGAACGUCUUUUUCAAUUACACAGUCUGAAGAAUACCAAUUUUUCAACCUACAUCACUAUGCUGUCGGCCACCGUGAUAUUGGCAAACACCUAUGCAGAAAACAUGUGGAGUAGCAACAGCAAGAAGAGGAGUCUUCCUAUGUAUAGUGAGACCAGUGCAUUCAGACAUGUCAAGUGUUUCGGCACUGACCCCAGCAGUCCUGUCGUUUUAAUUCUAUCGAAGAGUUCAAAAACCUUUCAGGACGAAACUCCUCAGGCUCUUCCCAUGUAGCAGGGUCUCUCUGUACUGCCCAAGCGUU